This 94-nucleotide transfer RNA is filed under the name Acidobacteriota bacterium. RNAcentral's name for it is "Acidobacteria bacterium tRNA-Ser". It matches the Rfam family "tRNA". Rfam says of the family: Transfer RNA (tRNA) molecules are approximately 80 nucleotides in length. The record is from RNAcentral. RNAcentral also lists the same sequence under 1 other name. Lineage: Bacteria; Pseudomonadati; Acidobacteriota.
GGAGAGGUGCUGGAGUGGCCGAACAGGGCUGCCUGCUAAGCAGUUACACGGGCUAAAACUCGUGUCGAGGGUUCGAAUCCCUCCCUCUCCGCCA